UACUUCAAGGGUUGGUGGUGUGCCAGCGCUUAGCCCUCAGGUAUUGGUUGCAGAUGAGAGUGGCUUGGUGGCAAGGUGGCCGGGGAAGGCAGGCUUAGGUGGCAGCACUGUUCUAGAAGACCACGGCAGGACACAGAAGAGGUAAACUAAACUUACAAAGCACAGCCUUGGCCUGGUAGAAGCAGAUACAGUACUUAAAAAGAAGUCACUUGUGACUCGGUCUGUAUGACAAGAAAUACUAUCUGUCAAUCAAACUCAGUGCAGUCAUCAGUCUUCCUAUGCUUCAGAGAGUCCUGCUUUAAAUUAUUUUUAAAUCCACGCCCGAUUUAAAAUGACUUAUCCAAUUCAAGGGAGAAGCUAUAAAGAUGGCUGAAGCUGGAUUAUUGACCCAUCAAAGGCGUUU
This is a non-coding RNA of Podarcis muralis (Common wall lizard), 403 nucleotides long. The record is from RefSeq and is a predicted model, not a curated record. NCBI's taxonomy places the organism in Eukaryota, Metazoa, Chordata, Lepidosauria, Squamata, Lacertidae.